CCUACGGGAGGCUGCAGUGGGGAAUAUUGGGCAAUGGACGCAACUCUGACCCAGCAACGCCGCGUGAGUGAUGAAGGUCUUCGGAUUGUAAAGUUCUUUGAUGCGGGAUGAACACAAUGACGGUACCCCAAUAGCAAGCCACGGCUAACUACGUGCCAGCAGCCCCGGUAAUACGUAGGUGGCAAGCGUUUACCGGAAUGACUGGGCGUAAAGGGUGCGUAGGUGGUUAAGUAAGUUGGCGGUGUAAUUCCGGGGCUCAAACUCGGCGCUACCGCCAAAACUUGUAGACUAGAGUGCAGGAGGGGUAAGUGGAAUUCGUAGUGUAGCGGUGAAAUGCAUAGAUAUUAGGAAGAACAUCAAGGGCGAAGGCGACUUACUGGACUGUAACUGACGCUGAGGCACGAAAGCGUGGGGAGCGAACAGGAUUAGAUACCCCAGUAGUC
RNAcentral lists this ribosomal RNA (443 nucleotides) under uncultured bacterium. Its description in RNAcentral is "partial 16S ribosomal RNA". It matches the Rfam family "Bacterial small subunit ribosomal RNA", at positions 338 to 795 of the family's 1533-position model. The record is from RNAcentral.